This is a long non-coding RNA of Xiphophorus couchianus (Monterrey platyfish), 120 nucleotides long. RefSeq lists it as uncharacterized. The transcript has 3 exons. The record is from RefSeq and is a predicted model, not a curated record. Lineage: Eukaryota; Metazoa; Chordata; Actinopteri; Cyprinodontiformes; Poeciliidae.
CACAAUUGCAAAAUUGUUUAUUUGUCGACAUUAGCGGAAUUUUGACAAAGUUUUCUCACAUUUGCGAUGGAAACGCAGCUAAAAAUGGAGGAAGAGUUGGCAUAACGUCUGCAGGGCAAA